AAUGCAACAAUUAUUAUAUUUUAUGAUUGAUUGACCAAUAGAAAUAAAAUACCCUGGUGUGGAAAUGUAUCAAUGAGAUUGGUUUCACACUUCUUAGUUUUUCAUUGAAAAAUUGGAAAAUUAUGAUAUUAUAUAACAUCAUGAAAUGUGAAAUAAAGAAAAAAUACCGUAAAAUUGCUGCAUUGCGAACUGAAACGACAAAAGAAACAAACACAUUUUCGCAUUUAUAAGAGAGGAUGUAUUUCUAUGCUUUAUAGUUUUGAGACAACAAUUAUCCAUUGAAUUCCUAAGUGUGGUAGAAACUAUGCAUGAAUUGAAAACUAGUCUAAUCUAAUAGAAAAAAUUUAUUAGCCCAAUAAUGCUCAUAUGUGUAUAAUUUGUACAUAGUUUAAGAAAUACUUUUGUAUUGCAAUACAAUAAAUAUUAUACUUUUAAUA
Long non-coding RNA from Zerene cesonia (dogface butterfly), 437 nucleotides. RefSeq lists it as uncharacterized. The transcript is spliced from 2 exons. Lineage: Eukaryota; Metazoa; Arthropoda; Insecta; Lepidoptera; Pieridae. The record is from RefSeq and is a predicted model, not a curated record.